RNAcentral lists this transfer RNA (75 nucleotides) under bacterium. RNAcentral's name for it is "tRNA-Met". It matches the Rfam family "tRNA". From Rfam's summary of the family: Transfer RNA (tRNA) molecules are approximately 80 nucleotides in length. The record is from RNAcentral.
CGCGGGGUGGAGCUGCGGUAGCUCGUCGGGCUCAUAACCCGAAGGUCGUUGGUUCAAAUCCAACCCCCGCUACCA